This 387-nucleotide ribosomal RNA is filed under the name uncultured bacterium. Its description in RNAcentral is "bacterial SSU rRNA". It matches the Rfam family "Bacterial small subunit ribosomal RNA", at positions 28 to 416 of the family's 1533-position model. The record is from RNAcentral.
GACGAACGCUGGCGGCGUGCUUAACACAUGCAAGUCGAGCGGUAAGGCCCUUUCGGGGGUACACGAGCGGCGAACGGGUGAGUAACACGUGGGUGACCUGCCUUUAGCUCUGGGAUAAGCCUGGGAAACUGGGUCUAAUACCGGAUAUGACCCUAUGGCGCAUGUUGUGGGGUGGAAAGCCUUGUGCGGCUAGGGAUGGGCCCGCGGCCUAUCAGCUUGUUGGUGGGGUGAUGGCCUACCAAGGCGACGACGGGUAGCCGGCCUGAGAGGGCGACCGGCCGACACUGGGACUGAGACACGGCCCAGACUCCUACGGGAGGCAGCAGUGGGGAAUCUUGCGCAAUGGCGAAAGCCUGACGCAGCGACGCCGCGUGAGGGAUGACGGCC